RNAcentral lists this ribosomal RNA (441 nucleotides) under uncultured bacterium. Its description in RNAcentral is "bacterial SSU rRNA". It matches the Rfam family "Bacterial small subunit ribosomal RNA", at positions 958 to 1398 of the family's 1533-position model. The record is from RNAcentral.
AACGCGAAGAACCUUACCAGGUCUUGACAUCCCGAUGCAAACACUAGAGAUAGUGUCCUUCUUCGGAACAUUGGAGACAGGUGGUGCAUGGUUGUCGUCAGCUCGUGUCGUGAGAUGUUGGGUUAAGUCCCGCAACGAGCGCAACCCUUGAUUUUAGUUGCCAGCACUUCGGGUGGGCACUCUAGAAUGACUGCCGGUGACAAACCGGAGGAAGGCGGGGAUGACGUCAAAUCAUCAUGCCCCUUAUGACCUGGGCUACACACGUACUACAAUGGUCGAUACAACGGGUAGCGAAGGAGCGAUCUGGAGCCAAUCCUAUCAAAGUCGAUCUCAGUUCGGAUUGCAGGCUGCAACCCGCCUGCAUGAAGUCGGAAUUGCUAGUAAUCGCGGAUCAGCAUGCCGCGGUGAAUACGUUCCCGGGCCUUGUACACACCGGUACUA